UAUCUGCAGUAAAAGUAAAAAACCCCAAACAAUCAGCCUUGUGGAAAACAUCAUGUAAGAAGAUCAGUAUGAACAGAAGGCUGACACAUGCCAGUCACAGUGAUCCCAAAAAGCCAUAGUUUAUUUUCUGUGUAAUAUUCUGUUCUCCAUCCUAAGACCAUCUUGCAAGUUCUCACUGCCUCAUGCCAGUACAAACCAUCUCAAACUCAGCUGCAUCACAGACUUCAGAAGGAGUUGCUAUGACCUUUUGGAAUUACUUCAAACAGCAUGAAUACUUGAGAGCAGAGAAAUUUUGAGGAAGGCAGAAAUGGAGGGGCUUGCAGAAUUAGCAGUGUUGAGUUGAAGCACAUGGUCAACAACAGUGGACUAUGCAGGAAUUCUUUGGAACAGAGAAAAUCAGUUAUCAUCCUUGAAGAAGAGUGCUGAUGUACCAACUGCAAAGAUAAAACAAUCAAGCUCAUACUCACUGCUGGCAGUUCCAUGGUGGCAGAUGACAGACAGGAGAUCGUAAGUCACGAUUUGAGCUGG
Long non-coding RNA from Passer domesticus (house sparrow), 528 nucleotides. RefSeq lists it as uncharacterized. Lineage: Eukaryota; Metazoa; Chordata; Aves; Passeriformes; Passeridae. The record is from RefSeq and is a predicted model, not a curated record. The transcript is spliced from 3 exons.